AUUAGAGUUUGAUCAUGGCUCAGGAUGAACGCUGGCGGCGUGCUUAACACAUGCAAGUCGAACGGAGAGCCUAUGACGGAGUUUUCGGACAACGGAUUAGGUUUCUUAGUGGCGGACGGGUGAGUAACGCGUGAGGAACCUGCCUUGGAGAGGGGAAUAACACAGAGAAAUUUGUGCUAAUACCGCAUGAUGCAGUUGAGUCGCAUGGCUCUGACUGCCAAAGAUUUAUCGCUCUGAGAUGGCCUCGCGUCUGAUUAGCUAGUUGGUGGGGUAACGGCCCACCAAGGCGACGAUCAGUAGCCGGACUGAGAGGUUGACCGGCCACAUUGGGACUGAGACACGGUCCAGACUCCUACGGGAGGCAGCAGUGGGGAAUUUUGGACAAUGGGCGCAAGCCUGAUCCAGCAAUGGCCGCGUGCAGGAUGAAGGCCUUCGGGUUGUAAACUGCUUUUGUACAGAACGAAAAGUCUUGGGUUAAUACCCUGGGACCAUGACGGUACUGUAAGAAUAAGCACCGGCUAACUACGUGCCAGCAGCCGCGGUAAUACGUAGGGUGCAAGCGUUAAUCGGAAUUACUGGGCGUAAAGCGUGCGCAGGCGGUUAUGUAAGACAGAGGUGAAAUCCCCCGGGCUCAACCUGGGAACGGCCUUUGUGACUGCAUAGCUAGAGUACGGUAGAGGGGGAUGGAAUUCCGCGUGUAGCAGUGAAAUGCGUAGAUAUCAGGAAGAACACCGAUGGCGAAGGCAGCCGGCUGGGGACUUACCGACGCUGAGGCUCGAAGGCGUGGGCAGCGAACAGGAUUAGAUACCCUGGUAGUCCACGCGGUAAACGAUGCAUACUAGGCGUCCCGGGGCGACCCGGGGUGCCGCAGCCAACGCGUUAAGUAUGCCGCCUGGGGAGUACGUACGCAAGUAUGAAACUCAAAGGAAUUGACGGGGGCCCGCACAAGCGGUGGAGCAUGUGGUUUAAUUCGAAGCAACGCGCAGAACCUUACCAGGGUUUGACAUGGAAUCGCCGCGGCGAGAGAUCGCCGUUUUGCAGCAAUGCAACGGUUCACACAGGUGCUGCAUGGCUGUCGUCAGUUCGUGUCGUGAGAUGUUGGGUUAAGUCCCGCAACGAGCGCAACCCACGUUUCCAGUUGCCGCCCGCGAGGGGGCUCUCUGGAGAGACUGCCGGGGACAACCCGGAGGAAGGUGUGGAUGACGUCAAAUCAGCACGGCCCUUACGUCCGGGGCGACACACGUGUUACAAUGGAGGUCACAGAGGGAAGCCACCCUGCGAGGGGGCGCGGAUCCCGAAAAGCCUCCCCAGUUCGGAUUGGAGUCUGCAACCCGACUCCAUGAAGCUGGAUUCGCUAGUAAUCGCGCAUCAGCCAUGGCGCGGUGAAUACGUUCCCGGGCCUUGUACACACCGCCCGUCAAGCCAUGAAAGCUGGGGGCGCCUGAAGUCCGUGACCGAGAGGAGCGGCCUAGGGCGAAACUGGUAAUUGGGGCUAAGUCGUAACAAGGUAACCAAU
This 1516-nucleotide ribosomal RNA is filed under the name uncultured bacterium. Its description in RNAcentral is "bacterial SSU rRNA". It matches the Rfam family "Bacterial small subunit ribosomal RNA". The record is from RNAcentral.